RNAcentral lists this unclassified non-coding RNA (114 nucleotides) under Trypanosoma cruzi. Its description in RNAcentral is "spliced leader RNA". Lineage: Eukaryota; Euglenozoa; Kinetoplastea; Trypanosomatida; Trypanosomatidae. The record is from RNAcentral.
AACUAACGCUAUUAUUGAUACAGUUUCUGUAUUAUAUUGGUACGCGAAGACUUCCAACCCGCCUCUGGGCGGUUAUGUUUGGUCAAUUUCUUUUGACCGGGGUAUACGGACCCC